RNAcentral lists this ribosomal RNA (729 nucleotides) under uncultured fungus. RNAcentral's name for it is "eukaryotic LSU rRNA". It matches the Rfam family "Eukaryotic large subunit ribosomal RNA", at positions 37 to 654 of the family's 3401-position model. The record is from RNAcentral. Lineage: Eukaryota; Fungi.
AGCAUAUCAGUAAGCGGAGGAAAAGAAACUAACCAGGAUUCCCUUAGUAACUGCGAGUGAAGCGGGAUUAGCCCAAUAUUAGAAGCAGGCCGGCCAGGCGUCGGACCCGCAUUGUAUAUUGAUGGGACGUGUCCUAGCGUCACUCGACCGCUUAAAGUGCCUUGGAACAGGCCGUCAAAGAGGGUGACAACCCCGUUUUACAGCAGUCGAGUGGCGUGUCUUUGGCGCGUCACCUUAGAGUCGGAAUGUUUGGGAUUGCAUUCCAAAACGGGUGGUAAACUCCAUCCAAGGCUAAAUACUGGCGAGAGACCGAUAGCGAACAAGUACCGUGAGGGAAAGUUGAAAAGCACUCUGGAGAGAGAGUCCAACAGUACGUGAAAUUGCCGGCAGGGAAACGUUGGGCACCAGUACACGGCAUUCAACAUCGAUGAUCAGCCAGACGCGUGGGCAACCGCGUCGUCGGUGCACUCGUCGAUGGCCGGGUCAGCAUCGGUUUGGUGCGUUCGAAACGCUAUUACGGUUGGAACUCCCGUCUGGGACUCUGACCGGGAUUCGCUAGGAUGCACUAGACCGAGGAAGCGAUUCGCACUUGUUCGAGGCGUGAUGGUCGUGUUAGUGCUCUAUCAUCGUUAGACAACUCGUUGACUGAUGGUGACAGGAGUACACGCGGCAGUCUCUGGCCUCCUCGAANCACGGACUGCUGACGAAAUGGCAUCCAACGACCCGUCU